Non-coding RNA from Caerostris extrusa, 89 nucleotides. The record is from the annotation of a GenBank genome assembly. NCBI's taxonomy places the organism in Eukaryota, Metazoa, Arthropoda, Arachnida, Araneae, Araneidae.
GAGCCGGAUUCGAUCCUUUCACCGAUGUCAAGCAUCAUUGGGCGCGGUCAGUACUUGGGGGUAACCACCUGGGAACACCGCGUGCCGUU